AGCACCUCUUGACUCCGGUCAUUUGCAUGCACUGUUCCUUCUGCACAGAAAGCUCCCCAUUUCCCAGCCCUUGCCAAUCGACACUGAAUUUACAGUGUCAUAAGAGGCCACCCGUGACCUCCUAGACCUGGUUUUACACCCCACCCCACCCCCAGGUCUUAGGACUUCCUUUUGCCACACACAUCCUUUAUCUCUUCUACACUCACCAUGCCUCCCUUGCUAGUGUCCCUCUCCGUCACCAUGUGUGGCACAGUCUGCAGAUCCCCAAGAACCAAAGGCAGUGCCCAGCCAUUGAGUACAAUGUCUCCCAAAGAGCAUCCAGACUUCCUGGAGGGCUGGUUCCCACAACCUAGUAUUAGACUGCGUGGUAGAGACCACCCCCCGGUUACCAAGCAUGCCAGGUCUCAGACCUACGCCAUUUUUGAGAAACAAAUCCAAGCUGCUCUCUCUACUAUGGGAUUUCUCAGAGAUCUUGACACAGCGCUACAUCUGCAGUGAGACCCUGCCGAGAGCCUCUAGAGGAAAGCAGGAGCUUCCUGUUCACUUCGCGUGUUCUGAGUCUUCGGAGAGUGGGGUGGAGAGACCUGCCCAAGAUGUCCAGAGGCAAAGAAUGUCAUGGCAGCCACAUUCCCGGAUCCAGCUUCUCCUCCCAGGCAAUGAGGACUGCUUCUCAUUAUCCCUGCCCUGGCUGGUGGCUCCCAGUAGCCAAAGACGUGUUUCCAAUGUCCUUUGAGGGCAGUCUGAGAUUCUCUUACUCUACCUGGGACAGAGCAGCCUCAACAAUGCUGCCACUGUGUCUAAGACAGAUGCCCAUGGACCUCUGAGCUGGUGAAUUCACACUCAGUUCACAAGAGGGUGAAGGCUGAACUGCCUUUAAGAACAAACUCAUCUCCACUGAACUGAGUCCUCCAGCAGGAAGUGAGAUGAGAGGGUUUGACUGUUGCCUUCAGGAAUCUGGUACCGUGAGAAGAUGUCUCACUUCAAAGGACACCAUCAAGAAAGUAAGUCAACAACCAACUCAAAAGAAAAUAGACUGGUCAACUAUGUAGCCAACAAGGAACUGUAUCUAGAAUACACAAAGAACCCUUAUAGCUUAAUAAAGAGAGAGAGAUAACUCAAUUAAAAAUGGGCAGAAGAUCUGAGUAGACUGAUCCUCAAAGAAGAUCACAGAU
Molecule: non-coding RNA, 1172 nt
Organism: Peromyscus maniculatus bairdii (prairie deer mouse)
Lineage: Eukaryota; Metazoa; Chordata; Mammalia; Rodentia; Cricetidae
Source: RefSeq, a predicted model, not a curated record